CAUGAAGCUGGAUUCGCUAGUAAUCGCGCAUCAGCCACGGCGCGGUGAAUACGUUCCCGGGCCUUGUACACACCGCCCGUCAAGCCAUGGAAGCCGGGAGUGCCUGAAGUGCGUGACCGCAAGGAGCGUCCUAAGGCAAUACCGGUGACUGGGGCUAAGUCGUAACAAGGUAGC
This 174-nucleotide ribosomal RNA is filed under the name uncultured bacterium. Its description in RNAcentral is "partial 16S ribosomal RNA". It matches the Rfam family "Bacterial small subunit ribosomal RNA", at positions 1319 to 1500 of the family's 1533-position model. The record is from RNAcentral.